Molecule: long non-coding RNA, 955 nt
Filed under: Gossypium barbadense (sea-island cotton)
Lineage: Eukaryota; Viridiplantae; Streptophyta; Magnoliopsida; Malvales; Malvaceae
Description: long non-coding RNA (GBAR_LNC019162)
Source: RNAcentral
UUUAGGGUUUGUUUAAAAAAAACUGCAGAGAAAUAAAAAAAAACUCUUUUCUCAACUCCUCGUCGUCGGCCGAAUGGGCCACCGUCGGGCUCGCCGUAAGCGGAGGUUAGGAGGCCAGAAGUCAUUUUUUCGAACCACUCUUCAAGGGCCAACUAAAGACCGAGCCUUCAUGGCCUAAGGGCCGUGGGAAGAGACUCCAAACGCCGCCUUCCCUGUCCGACUUCGGUGACCUGAAGAAGGACUCCGACGAUGACGCUUGCGAGGCGGUUCAGGUAAGUUUCCUUUCCAGGUUUCUUAUUAUUUUGUUAAUUUAAACAAAAGUAAAACAAAACAACACUAAGAAAAAAAAUAAAAACGAAGAACCUAGAAAGUGAAAGGAACAAAUCACCUUAAAUGCUUUUUUUUUUAAUUUCAUAAAAUGUUCGUCCAAAAAGGAAUAAGAAGUUCUUCUUUACAGCACAUUCGACUUUAACCGAAAGAAAAGAAGAAAAAUAAAAGAAAAAAUCCCUCCUUAUUUUUACAUUGUAUUUCGGCUUUUAUAGCCCUUGUUCUUGCUGUUGGUGCUGAUCUUGACUUGUUUGCAGGUGCAAGUGGAGUGGUAGAGCAGGUGGAGUUGGUGGCAGAGCAGGUGGCGUGGCGGUGGCAGAGCAGGUGGCGCAGCAGUGGCAAAGGUUAGGAGGCUAGAGUUUCUACCCUUUUUUUUUUUUUUACUGAAGAUUAGAUUAGGUUUUGGGCUUAUUGGGCCACUAGAGUUUUAGGCUUUGUAAUUGUAAAAUUGGGCUAGGGUAUUUGGGUUAAAUUUUGUUGUAAAUGAACUCUUUUGUUUAUUAGUUUUUAGGCCCGGGCCAAAAUUGGCUAUACAAUAAUCAUUUAAUAAAAUAUAUGUAAUACCUCAAAAUUUUCAGUAUAGUAAAUAACAUUGUUCCAAGAAUUAGUGAAUACAAAAUUAGUGAGA